CCUACGGGAGGCAGCAGUGAGGAAUAUUGGUCAAUGGGCGGAAGCCUGAACCAGCCAAGUCGCGUGAGGGAAUAAGGCCCUACGGGUCGUAAACCUCUUUUGCCGGGGAGCAAGGGCCGGGACGUGUCCCGUCCCGGAGAGUACCCGGAGAAAAAGCAUCGGCUAACUCCGUGCCAGCAGCCGCGGUAAUACGGAGGAUGCGAGCGUUAUCCGGCUUUAUUGGGUUUAAAGGGUGCGUAGGCGGGCUUUUAAGUCAGCGGUAAAAAUUCGGGGCUCAACCCCGUCCGGCCGUUGAAACUGGGGGCCUUGAGUGGGCGAGAAGAAGGCGGAAUGCGUGGUGUAGCGGUGAAAUGCAUAGAUAUCACGCAGAACCCCGAUUGCGAAGGCAGCCUUCCGGGGCACUACUGACGCUGAGGCACGAAAGUGCGGGGAUCGAACAGGAUUAGAUACCCUAGUAGUC
This 460-nucleotide ribosomal RNA is filed under the name uncultured bacterium. Its description in RNAcentral is "partial 16S ribosomal RNA". It matches the Rfam family "Bacterial small subunit ribosomal RNA", at positions 338 to 795 of the family's 1533-position model. The record is from RNAcentral.